Molecule: transfer RNA, 73 nt
Filed under: Zootermopsis nevadensis
Lineage: Eukaryota; Metazoa; Arthropoda; Insecta; Blattodea; Termopsidae
Rfam family: tRNA
About the family: Transfer RNA (tRNA) molecules are approximately 80 nucleotides in length. Their secondary structure includes four short double-helical elements and three loops (D, anti-codon, and T loops).
Source: Rfam by way of RNAcentral
GUCACGGUGGUCUAGCGGUUGGAACGCUGGCCUUGUAAUCCUGGGGUCUCGGGUUCGAUUCCCGGCGGUGCCC